GACGAACGCUGGCGGCGUGCUUAACACAUGCAAGUCGAACGGAAAGGCCCUGCUUUUGUGGGGUGCUCGAGUGGCGAACGGGUGAGUAACACGUGAGUAACCUGCCCUUGACUUUGGGAUAACUUCAGGAAACUGGGGCUAAUACCGGAUAGGAGCUCCUGCUGCAUGGUGGGGGUUGGAAAGUUUCGGCGGUUGGGGAUGGACUCGCGGCUUAUCAGCUUGUUGGUGGGGUAGUGGCUUACCAAGGCUUUGACGGGUAGCCGGCCUGAGAGGGUGACCGGCCACAAGGGGACUGAGAUACGGCCCAGUCGGCAACGGGAGGCAGCAGGGGGGAAUAUUGCACAAUGGGCGGAAGCCUGAGGCAGCAACGCCGCGUGCGGGAUGACGGCUUUCGGGUUGUGAACCGCUUUCGCCUGUGACGAAGCGGGAGUGACGGUAAUGGGUAAAGAAGCACCGGCUAACUACGUG
RNAcentral lists this ribosomal RNA (468 nucleotides) under uncultured bacterium. Its description in RNAcentral is "partial 16S ribosomal RNA". It matches the Rfam family "Bacterial small subunit ribosomal RNA", at positions 28 to 507 of the family's 1533-position model. The record is from RNAcentral.